GACGAACGCUGGCGGCGUGCUUAACACAUGCAAGUCGAACGGAAAGGCCCUGCUUUUGUGGGGUGCUCGAGUGGCGAACGGGUGAGUAACACGUGAGUAACCUGCCCUUGACUUUGGGAUAACUUCAGGAAACUGGGGCUAAUACCGGAUAGGAGCUCCUGCUGCAUGGUGGGGGUUGGAAAGUUUCGGCGGUUGGGGAUGGACUCGCGGCUUAUCAGCUUGUUGGUGGGGUAGUGGCUUACCAAGGCUUUGACGGGUAGCCGGCCUGAGAGGGUGACCGGCCACCUUGGGACUGAGAUACGGCCCAGCCUCCUACGGGAGGCAGCAGUGGGGAAUAUUGCACAAUGGGCGGAAGCCUGAUGCAGCAACGCCGCGUGCGGGAUGACGGCCUUCGGGUUGUAAACCGCUUUCGCCUGUGACGAAGCGUGAGUGACGGUAAUGGGUAAAGAAGCACCGGCUAACUACGUG
RNAcentral lists this ribosomal RNA (468 nucleotides) under uncultured bacterium. RNAcentral describes it as "partial 16S ribosomal RNA". It matches the Rfam family "Bacterial small subunit ribosomal RNA", at positions 28 to 507 of the family's 1533-position model. The record is from RNAcentral.